GCAUUUUAUAGCAGUCUGGGCUGCCACAAAAUGCACCGCUAAAAAUACAGUUUCUGCUUGUCCCACAAUUUAUUAAAUUUGAGAGUGAAGUUGUAGGACUGAUGCUGGUUAGUGGUGUAGGUUUCAUGGAUGUGACACCUGAACUUGUGUAAAAUGACCACCAGAGCAUAUUCCGAGACUUCUGGUUAGUUCACUGUAGUUAGGCAGAGGUGUCUUAAAAGUACCACCUUAUACAGAAAGAAUGAAGUUCCAGUAUAAAAAAGAAUAAGAAGAGAAAAAAGCUACACCCUGCUAAAUGAAGUAACUUUUAAACAUUACUCUAAAUGUAACAUAUAGAAAGGAAAUCAGUCUAAGUAUACGUUACCUAGUAAGUAUACUACUAUUGCUUCUUGGGGACUACAUUGGCCCCCGUUUUAGUAUAUAGAAGUAUACUUGAAAUGAACUUUUGGAUGUACUUUUUGUUCACUAUAACUGUACUAGCAUAAUGUCCUUUCCAGUCUAUAAGAGUAUACUUAAAAUAUACUCUAACACAAUACUAAACUUACAAGUAUACUAUUGAUUUACUUUUUAGUUUAUAUUUGGCUUACUUCUGGUUGAAAUAUAGUAAUUAAAAUCCAGUUGAAACAUAUUUUUCACAUGUAACAAAUCACUCCAUUCCCCAGACAGUCAGAUAAUAGUUCCAACUAUCAGAAGGCUUCCUUUGCAGAGAAUUACACUCAUAGUUCAAGUACCAGAAUUAUAUUGCAAACAGUUGAGAAAAUGAUUUGACAGUUGAGGUUUAUUAACUAUUAACCCUUUUCACUCACGGUUUAAACAUUUUUUUUUAUCCCACUUACUCUGUUCAGAAGGUAAAAGACAUUACACAAGAAUUUGUGACAAAUUCUUGUUUAAAACAUCAAUUAUUUGUUUCAUAGUUGUUUUAAUUUUACAGUUAAAGCACUAUAUCACACACACAGAAAGAAACAUUAGAGCUCGAGUUUAGAUACUUUAGAUCUAAAUAGAUAAAACUAACUCUUAGUUUCAGCAAUCAGUGAACAGACAAACAAUGAUACCAUACUGAUUCUGUAUGAAUACAAUAUGGUAUUUUUUUUUAUAAUUUUUUGAUAAAUUAGUUUGCUAAAUUAUAAGAAUAUAUAUAUAUAUAUAUUUUUUAUUAUUAUUUA
This 1163-nucleotide long non-coding RNA is filed under the name Oreochromis niloticus (Nile tilapia). Its description in RNAcentral is "lncRNA (ENSONIG00000034056.1)". The record is from RNAcentral. Lineage: Eukaryota; Metazoa; Chordata; Actinopteri; Cichliformes; Cichlidae.